UUGAACUUUCUCGUUUGGUGAGAACGACUUGAUGACCUUCUUUCUGUGGCUUCCUGGUUUUGUUUCCCUCCCCAACUUUUAUCUGCCCCUGUUGUCUCUGGAUCGUCCAGUUCUGAACUGCCUGUGCACGUGCGUUCGCAGCAGCUCUUUGUAGGUCAACAUGCAACUCAAGCUUCUAGAAGGCAAGGCUGCUCACUCUUCAUUACCUACUGACUGGUGGGAAGAAACAGAUGAUCUCAAGUAGACACCAAGUGGUCAACCACUUGAUACCGGGUUGUUGUAGACGGACAGGAAGACAGCACUCUCAUUGUCCCAGCAAGUCACUGCACCUGUUCAAAACUCUCCUUUUAUUCUUUGGCAAAGGAACUGGAUAGAGAGAGACAAACUUACUGCUUAUUUUCCCUAGCAUUUCUCAAGGUAUUUAAGUACACGACUUUGACUGAAAAAUUAAAAAAAAAAAUGAUUCUUA
Non-coding RNA from Peromyscus maniculatus bairdii (prairie deer mouse), 469 nucleotides. The record is from RefSeq and is a predicted model, not a curated record. NCBI's taxonomy places the organism in Eukaryota, Metazoa, Chordata, Mammalia, Rodentia, Cricetidae.